Molecule: ribosomal RNA, 748 nt
Filed under: Scytinium subtile
Lineage: Eukaryota; Fungi; Ascomycota; Lecanoromycetes; Peltigerales; Collemataceae
Description: SSU rRNA
Rfam family: Bacterial small subunit ribosomal RNA
Source: RNAcentral
AUUGGUCAAUAGCCUAACGGCUGAACCAGCAACUUGGAGGAAUGUAUAGGUAAAGCUAAAUGUAUUUUUUAAUUGUAAUACAUAUUCGAUUUAUUCGUAUAAAGUUCUAGAUAGAAUUUUGAUAAUGACAUUGUCUAUCUAUAAGUCUUGGCCAAACUACGUGCCAGCAGCCGCGGUAAGACGUAAAAGACUAGUGUUAUUCAUCUUUAAUAGGUUUAAAGCGUACCUAGACGGUAAAUCAAGCCUUAAGGGGACUAAUUUAACUAGAGUUAGAUGUAAGGGUGCAUAAACGUACUGUUGAGUGUAGAGAUGAUAUUCUUUUAUACCAGAUUAUUGGCACGGGUUUAGGCGAAAGCAUCACCUUAUGUAAUAACUGACGUUGAGGGACGAAGGCUUUGUGUCGCGAACAGGAUUAGAUACCCUAGUAGUCUAAGCAGAAAAUGAUGAGUGUCAUAGGUUAAAUAUUAUUUGGUCUAUAAAUGAAAGUGUAAGCAUUCCACCUCAAGAGUAAUUUGGCAACAUUGGAAUUGAAAUCAUUAGACCGUUUCUGAAACCAGUAGUGAAGUAUGUUGUUUAAUUAGAUAAUCCACAAAGAACCUUACCACAAUUUGAAUAUUUUACAAGUGUUGCACGGCUGUCUUCAGUUAAUGUCGUGAGAUUAUGGUUAGUUCCAUUAAAUUAACGUAAACCCUUACUUUAUUUUAUAUAAUAUAAAGUUGUUCGCCGCUAGAUUGGUUAGAUAAAAGGA